GACGAACGCUGGCGGCGUGCUUAACACAUGCAAGUCGAACGGAAGGGCCUGCUUUCCCUUGUGGAUUGCGGGUACUCGAGUGGCGAACGGGUGAGUAACACGUGAGUGAUCUGCCCCCAACUUGGGUAUAAGCCUGGGAAACUGGGUCUAAUUCCCGAUAGGACUGCAGGGUGGUGCCUGUGGUGGAAAACGAUUUUCUAGUGGUUGGGGAUGAGCUCGCGGCCUAUCAGCUUGUUGGUGGGGUAAUGGCCUACAAAGGCGGCGACGGGUAGCCGGCCUGGGGGGGGGGACGGCAACGUUGGGACUGAGAUACGGCGCAGGCUCCUACGGGAGGCAGCAGUGGGGAAUAUUGCACAAUGGGCGGAAGCCUGAUGCAGCGACGCCGAGUGGGGGAUGACGGCCUUCGGGUUGUGAACUCCUUUCGACCGCGAGGAAGCCACCUGGUUGGAAGGGUGGUGACGGUAGUGGUAGAAGAAGCACCGGCUAACUACGUG
This 494-nucleotide ribosomal RNA is filed under the name uncultured bacterium. Its description in RNAcentral is "partial 16S ribosomal RNA". It matches the Rfam family "Bacterial small subunit ribosomal RNA", at positions 28 to 507 of the family's 1533-position model. The record is from RNAcentral.